UACGAAGGGGGCUAGCGUUGUUCGGAAUUACUGGGCGUAAAGCGUGCGUAGGCGGAUAUUUAAGUCAGGGGUGAAAUCCCGGGGCUCAACCCUGGAACUGCCUUUGAUACUGGAUAUCUGGAGUUCGGGAGAGGUGAGUGGAAUUCCGAGUGUAGAGGUGAAAUUCGUAGAUAUUCGGAGGAACACCAGAAGCGAAGGCGGCUCACUGGCCCGAUACUGACGCUGAGGCGCGAAAGCGUGGGGAGCAAACAGG
This 253-nucleotide ribosomal RNA is filed under the name uncultured bacterium. RNAcentral's name for it is "partial 16S ribosomal RNA". It matches the Rfam family "Bacterial small subunit ribosomal RNA", at positions 524 to 776 of the family's 1533-position model. The record is from RNAcentral.